GUGCCAGCAGCCGCGGUAAUACGUAGGGGGCUAGCGUUAUCCGGAAUUACUGGGCGUAAAGGGUGCGUAGGCGGCCCUUCAAGUCAGAGGUGAAAGGCUACGGCUCAACCGUAGUAAGCCUUUGAAACUGUAGGGCUUGAGUGCAGGAGAGGAGAGUGGAAUUCCCAGUGUAGCCGGUGAAAUGCGUAGAUAUUGGGAGGAACACCAGUUGCAGAAGGCGGCUCUCUGGACUGUAACUGACGCUGAGGCACGAAAGCGUGGGGAGCGAACAGGAUUAGAUACCCUGGUAGUCC
Molecule: ribosomal RNA, 293 nt
Filed under: uncultured microorganism
Description: partial 16S ribosomal RNA
Rfam family: Bacterial small subunit ribosomal RNA
Source: RNAcentral